UAAUAUUUCCCCGUCUUCUCUCUAGAUAAUCCUCCGUCCCUCUCGUUUCGUUCGGCAGAAGGACCAGUGGAGUACCACAAGCUGCAGGGCGCCAGACUUCUCGAUCUCAGUUUCUCCACUCGUGAUCUUCAGUUCACCUCGCCUGUAAGGAUUCCGCGGCACUUUCUACAGUGCCGGGCGAGCAGAAAGGCGAGCGGCCUGCGAAGUACCGCCGGCUAGGUUUCCGGGACAAAAUGAGACAAAAUCAGAAUUUUAGCAUGAUAUCAUCGAAGAGAAAGAGGAGAUUGAGAAGAUAGAAAGAAGAGGGAAGAAUUUUUUGUAGCUUCGGAAAGAUAGACUGUGCCGAGAAGCCUAGUUGAGGUUCUUGAACUAAACAUAAAAGUCAUAGCAACCUCCAACUAGCUAUCGAAGAUAACGAUUUUAGCGUGGCAACCGAAGUUGGUUGCUGGUAGUGGAGGAUUGCAAAAAGGCCGCAAAACGGCAUGUGCGAGCAACAAGUGGUGGUAGAUUGAACAGCUCCUAAAUACAUUCUCCACUACCAGCAGAUUUGAUACAAGGGUGUAAUCUCUGCAAAAUGGAUGUACAAUGGAGAUUUGAUCUCCAAUCUGUUGUACGCAUAUAUGAACUUCUAAGUUGUAUUUUGAUGUAAUGUCAUGUAUUAUUUUUGUUGUAAAUAUCAAUCCCAUUGUUGAAACUUCA
Molecule: long non-coding RNA, 699 nt
Organism: Phalaenopsis equestris
Lineage: Eukaryota; Viridiplantae; Streptophyta; Magnoliopsida; Asparagales; Orchidaceae
Exons: 4
Source: RefSeq, a predicted model, not a curated record